This 497-nucleotide ribosomal RNA is filed under the name uncultured bacterium. Its description in RNAcentral is "partial 16S ribosomal RNA". It matches the Rfam family "Bacterial small subunit ribosomal RNA", at positions 28 to 507 of the family's 1533-position model. The record is from RNAcentral.
GAUGAACGCUGGCGGCGUGCUUAAUACAUGCAAGUCGAACGGACGGACGAGGAUCUUGUUUGUUUCUUGUUAGGGGCGCGCGUGAGUGUAACAUGAGUAACACCUACCUAUAUUACUGAUAUCUCUUGGGGAAACGGGAGAUAAUAGCGUAUGAUAUUUUGAACCGUAUUGUUGAAUGGUGAAUUACGGUGUUGCUGUCUGUUAUCGAUGGUUAUGAGCUGCAUUAGCUAGUUGGUAAGGAAACGGCUUACCAAGGCAACGAGGCAUAGACGAGGUGAGAGGGUGAUCGGCGACACUGGAGGUUAGACACGGUCCAGGCUACUACGGGAGGCAGCAGUAGCGAAUCUGACGCAAUGGGCGAAAGCAUGACGGAGCAACGCCGCGUGAGUGAUGAAGGUGUUCGGAUCGUAAAACUCUGUUAUGAGGGAAGAACAUAUGUGUAAGUAACUGUGCACAUCUUGACGGUACCUAAUCAGAAAGCCACGGCUAACUACGUG